GCACUAGAUCCCUCCCUUUCACAAAACCCUACCCUUAAUCCCUAAACUCUCUCGAAGAAGGGAAAAAAAAGAGAGAGCCGAAUCGAAAGAUCUCAAAAGUUCAAUGUCAGCCGCCAGAUCAGUCUUCCGCUCCGCCGCAAGCCGAGCAUCCGCCGCCGCGUCAAGAUUCUCCACCGGACCCAAGCCUAUGCCGGCAUCGGCGUCAUCUCGGCCUGCGUUUCGGAUGCCUAAACAGAGCCCUCUUUCAAACCGCAUUUUCAGGUCUCCGGUGGAAUUGAGCUGCUGCGUGGAGACGAUGCUCCCUUACCACACGGCCACUGCUUCCGCUCUGCUCAAUUCGAUGCUCUCCGCUUCUCGCCGUGGUUGGAUCGUCGAAGGUCUAGACGAGACUAGAUGAAGAUCUUUCAACAAAAAAUGAUAUUGCAAUGAUGAUGUAUGAUGAAUUACUGAGGAGAGGUCAGCGAUGCAUGCAGUCUUAAGCCAAGAUGGAUGACUCUCCUUCUCACCAUUGCAGUAAACAGGAAGAUUUGUUUAAGAGUUUUAAAACCACUUGUGUUGAUUCUUAAACCAUAACAACAGAUGUUUCUCCAUGUUUUUUUUUUUUUUUUUGCUGUUACUUUAUAAAAGAUCCAAGUGAAUUGUUGAAUCAGUCUCCUUCAUUCCAUCGCCUUGUAUUGUAGGUCGUUGUAGUUUGUUGGUAUCUGAAUUUAUUUAUCAUUGAUGAAUAAUUAAUAGCUUCAAUCGUAAUAAUUCAUUUCCCAACAA
This is an RNA transcript of Brassica napus (rape), 765 nucleotides long. It is a transcript of the gene named protein NUCLEAR FUSION DEFECTIVE 6, mitochondrial, with no coding region annotated. The record is from RefSeq and is a predicted model, not a curated record. The transcript is spliced from 5 exons. Lineage: Eukaryota; Viridiplantae; Streptophyta; Magnoliopsida; Brassicales; Brassicaceae.